GACGAACGCUGGCGGCGUGCUUAACACAUGCAAGUCGAACGGAAAGGCCCUGCUUUUGUGGGGUGCUCGAGUGGCGAACGGGUGAGUAACACGUGAGUAACCUGCCCUUGACUUUGGGAUAACUUCAGGAAACUGGGGCUAAUACCGGAUAGGAGCUCUUGCUGCAUGGUGGGGGUUGGAAAGUUUCGGCGGUUGGGGAUGGACUCGCGGCUUAUCAGCUUGUUGGUGGGGUAGGGGCUUACCAAGGCUUUGACGGGUAGCCGGCCUGAGAGGGUGACCGGCCACAUUGGGACUGAGAUACGGCCCAGACUCCUACGGGAGGCAGCAGUGGGGAAUAUUGCACAAUGGGCGGAAGCCUGAUGCAGCAACGCCGCGUGCGGGAUGACGGCCUUCGGGUUGUAAACCGCUUUCGCCUGUGACGAAGCGGGAGUGACGGUAAUGGGUAAAGAAGCACCGGCUAACUACGUG
This 468-nucleotide ribosomal RNA is filed under the name uncultured bacterium. RNAcentral's name for it is "partial 16S ribosomal RNA". It matches the Rfam family "Bacterial small subunit ribosomal RNA", at positions 28 to 507 of the family's 1533-position model. The record is from RNAcentral.